GACGAACGCUGGCGGCGUGCUUAACACAUGCAAGUCGAACGGCAAGACCCUGCUUUUGUGGGGUUCUCGAGUGGCGAACGGGUGAGUAACACGUGAGUAUCCUGCCCUUGACUUUGGUAUAACUUCAGGUAGCUGGGGCUACUACCGGAUAGCAUCUCCUGCUGCAUGGUGGGGGUUGGAAAGUUUCGGCGGUUGGGGAUGGACUAGCGGCUUAUCAGCUUGUUGGUGGGGUAGUGGCUUACCCAGGCUUUGACGGGUAGCCGGCCUGAGAGGGUGACCGGCCACAUGAGGACUGAGAGACGGAGCAGACUGCUACGGGAGGCAGCAGUGGGGAAUAUUGCACAAUGGGCGGAAGCCUGAUGCAGAAACGCCGCGUGCGGGAUGACGGCCUGCGGGGUGUAAACAGCUGUCGCCUGUGACGAAGCGUGAGUGACGGUAAUGGGUAAAGAAGCACCGGCUAACUACGUG
This 468-nucleotide ribosomal RNA is filed under the name uncultured bacterium. RNAcentral's name for it is "partial 16S ribosomal RNA". It matches the Rfam family "Bacterial small subunit ribosomal RNA", at positions 28 to 507 of the family's 1533-position model. The record is from RNAcentral.